GCUUGCUUGGUGACAGAGUUAUCCUUUCAGAAGAGUAGCAAACUCUGGGAAAUUUCUGGAAGAAAUAGCACACUGAUGAGAAUGCAGAGAGGAAACUCCCCAUGACUCUGGGAAGCACAAAGCAGGCACAGGACUCAGCCGACCAUGGUAGUGUGAUUUUAGCUCAAAACAACCUCCAAGGACUCUUGGGAGAAAUUUCCUUGGCUAUCCACCUGACAUGUUAGGAAAAUAAAAUGACAUUAAACACCAUUUAAAACAAACAAACAAACA
Molecule: non-coding RNA, 270 nt
Organism: Vicugna pacos (alpaca)
Lineage: Eukaryota; Metazoa; Chordata; Mammalia; Artiodactyla; Camelidae
Source: RefSeq, a predicted model, not a curated record